GCUGGAGUGGCGGAACUGGUAGACGCACCAUCUUGAGGGGGUGGCGGGAGUUUCUCGUGGGGGUUCAAGUCCCCCCUUCAGCA
RNAcentral lists this transfer RNA (83 nucleotides) under Deferribacteraceae bacterium. RNAcentral describes it as "tRNA-Leu". It matches the Rfam family "tRNA". From Rfam's summary of the family: Transfer RNA (tRNA) molecules are approximately 80 nucleotides in length. Lineage: Bacteria; Pseudomonadati; Deferribacterota; Deferribacteres; Deferribacterales; Deferribacteraceae. The record is from RNAcentral.